GGGGGGGGGGGGGGGGGGGGGGGGGGGGGGAGGGGGGGGGGGGGGGGGGGGGUGGGGGCGGGGUGCGGCGGGGGACGGGGGGGGAGUGCCGGGGAAGCGGGCUGGGGGUGGGGGAUAGGGUGGGGAAAGGGGGGCUAGUGCCGCCUACGUCCGGAGGGAGGAAGUGGGGGGUGUUCGGACCUCACGCUAUCCGAGGAGCCUAGGUCGGAUUAGCUCGUUGGGUGGGUAAAGGCCUACCAAGGCGACGAUCCGUAACUGGGCUGAGAGGAUGAUCAGUCACACUGGAACUGAGACACGGUCCAGACUCCUACGGGAGGCAGCAGUGGGGAAUAUUGGACAAUGGGCGAAAGCCUGAUCCAGCCAUGCCGCGUGUGUGAAGAAGGUCUUCGGAUUGUAAAGCACUUUAAGUUGGGAGGAAGGGCAGUAAGUUAAUACCUUGCUGUUUUGACGUUACCAACAGAAUAAGCACCGGCUAACUUCGUG
RNAcentral lists this ribosomal RNA (483 nucleotides) under uncultured bacterium. Its description in RNAcentral is "partial 16S ribosomal RNA". The stretch from base 53 to 483 matches the Rfam family "Bacterial small subunit ribosomal RNA", at positions 37 to 507 of the family's 1533-position model. The record is from RNAcentral.